UCUCCAAUCGCAAUAACGUAAAGUAUUAUUACCCGCGAACCAAUGAGUCAAAUUUAAGAAACAACCCACUGUUAGAAAGCUGAAUGGCUACGCUUUAAAAUGAAUGUAAACUUUAAAGUUUUCGUCUAUUAUUUGUUUAGCAAUUUACAUUUUAGUCGAGGAUUGCGCUUUUUUUGAUACACCCUGUAUAUGCACCCAGAAAUGUGUGUCUAUGACAAGAAAAUACAAGCUUUUUUCAACUGUAAACCUCUGAAUAUAAUGCUCACCUCAUUCCAAAUAUAACCCCCCCCCCCAAAUAUAAGCCCCCCCCUGAAUAUAAGCCCCCUGAAUAUAAGCCCGGUAUCCCACUAUGUUAUUUAACAUUGACAUUGUCUUUAAAUAUAGCAGAGAACGAUAUUUGAAACACUGUCAUUGUCUUUAUAGCUUACUAUGUUAAUGGGAAGUGUGUUAUUAAUACAUGUUUAUUUUCCGGUUUAUGAGUGACUGACUUGUUUAUUACUAACACAAUUGAUUGUCCAUGUAUAAGGCCCCCAUGCAUAUAAGCCCCCCCCCUCCCCCAAGCCCAUGAAAAAUCGCUUCAAAACAAUGUAAGCCCAGGGCUUAUAGUCCGAGGUUUACGGUAUUAUAUAUCAUAUUUUAACAAUAAACACAUUAUUUUUUAUAUUAUAUUACAACCACAUAUAAAGUCUUCAAAUGACAGUACAUUGUGUUUGUAAUUAUAAUUACUAUAAUUACUUGUGUCAAAAGUAAGAAAUGAAGUGAACAAAUCCAUAUAUAUUUGUUGAAAAAUUCUUGCAGUGGGUAUCUUCCUUUUGCUUUUCAUGCUUCACACUGUGUAUCUUUGAACAUUUAAUCAGCAACUAAUUAUAGGCAAGAAUAUAUUCACUAGCUCAUUUCUCCAUAUUACCAGGUACAUAACAUGCAAUAUAUCAACCUUGCAAUCCAUGCUUUAACCCAUGCAGUUGCCCCCUCUCCUGGAGCUUGUUUGGGAAGGGAGAGGAAGGAAUGGAGAUACUGUAAUUUCUAUAUUCAGCUCUUUUCUCUUCAAGCUCCUCCAAUAACCCCCCCCCCCCCAUUUG
This is a non-coding RNA of Paramuricea clavata, 1079 nucleotides long. Lineage: Eukaryota; Metazoa; Cnidaria; Anthozoa; Malacalcyonacea; Plexauridae. The record is from the annotation of a GenBank genome assembly.